Glycine soja is the source of this 2098-nucleotide RNA transcript. It is a transcript of the gene named serine carboxypeptidase II-3-like, with no coding region annotated. The transcript is spliced from 11 exons. Lineage: Eukaryota; Viridiplantae; Streptophyta; Magnoliopsida; Fabales; Fabaceae. The record is from RefSeq and is a predicted model, not a curated record.
AAAUCAAACUCCAAAAUGACCACAAGCCUUUGGAUUAUGGACCGGGCCGGGUAUUUUAGUCAAAUCCACUUCAAUCUCCGUUUAAACCCUGCCACUCCGUUUUUUCUCUUCUUCUCGUGCUUCGGCGGAAAUCGGCUUAGCUCUUCGACCGGCAUUGCUAGCAGAAUUAUAAUUUUAUGGAGGUCAUUUUAGGGUAAAAUAGGAUUAACUAUGGUUGCACCACGUUAGCUCUUUGGAGUCAAGGUACGCAUUACAUAAAUUCUGCCACACACAUAACUAUGGUUGCACCUCAGGAACGUGACAAGCUAUUUUGAUUCAGCUAAGCAGCUUGUGAAUGGGAUUCCCCUGCCACUAGAUCUUGGAUCCAACAUUGAUGAUGUAAAAGUGAAAGUCACCACGGCUGCUGAUUCUCUCUCCAAGAAGGCUAAAGAAAAUUCAAGGAUGAUACACAAAGUCAUAGAUGGAGUGAGACUGGCUCUUGUUACUGUUGCUGUUGUUAUGAUCUUUGUUGCAUUUCUCGGAUUGUUAUUUUCUUUACUUGCUUUGUCGUGUCCUGUAUACUCCUUGGUGGUUAUUGGAUGGAUUCUUGUUACAGGCACCUUGUUACUUUGUGCUGCAUUUCUAUUUGUCCCUAAGUAAGUUCCUAUAUAUUGCUUGGAGUCAAUUGUUCAACUUCAUGAAAUCAAUACAAAGCUUGUAAUGGAUAGAUAAUUGGAUCGAAUUAAUGAAUUCAUUAACUAAUGUUACACUUGCAUAUAUGCAUAUGUAUAUUUUUGAACUAAAAAAUAGUAGUAAUGUAUAAGAUCAUAGGGCAGAGUAAUUGGUGUGUUGGGUUGGAGUUAGCUGGAGCUGGGUUUCUUGUGUGGUGUGUUGGUGUUAUGGCUGAGGGAUGAAGAAAGAUAAGGUGUCUCUCCGACUCCGAAUAAUGGGAAGAAGCUAAAGGACGAAAGCGAUUUUUGACGAAUUGGCUGUAAAUGUCCAUUACAUGGAAUGCUUUGGUUCCUUUGCUCCCAUAAGAGGUUUGACUGAAGAUGGGAGCCAAGCCCAAUGGUUUGUAGAUGGACAGGCAACAUUUGAAGCAAUUGCGACUUCAAUUCAAGAUGCAAAAUCUUCAUUACGGGUUGGUGGUUGUGCCCAGAGCUAUAUCUGAGACGGCCUUUUGAUAGCUUUUAUACCUCUCGGUUAGAUUCGUUACUAGAAGAAAAGGCUAACCAAGGGGUUCAAGGUUCAAUUCUAGGUGUUGAGGUCAACGUUUCUAGAAAAUCAUAUUCUACUCAACUGGUUGUCAUGGAAGAUGAGAAUGGGAACCAAAAUUCUGCGCCACCUCAAAACGAAGGGUUUCUCAUCCCGAAUGUAUUUACUUUAGCUAUACCGCAGGACUUGUCUCAUCCUUUCCUUGCCAAGGCAAUCAAGUAAUUUUAUUCAUUGUUCACCACCUCUCUCAUCCCCUCUUCCUUUGAGCCAAAGCAAAAGUAUGAAAAAUAAAAUGAGGUACUUAGAUCAACUUGGAAUAGCAUCCUGCUACAGCACUAAAGUCUAUUGCAGGCAGACUUUAAUUGGAGGGAACUAUGGCCUUCUCAAUACCACCACCUUUGCUCCCAAUCUUGACUACUACAGUGCAGUUUUGUGGCAUCGGCUAAUGGGAAAGAAGGUUCUUGCGAUCUCAAGUGAUGUUCAUAUUAAAGACUUUUACCUAUAAUUAGGAAAUGUAAGUAGAAGUUAAUGACUUUUACCUACAGUUGAAGAUAAUAGGUACAUAUUAAAGACUUUUACCUACAGUUAGGAAAUGUAAGUAGAAGUUAAUGACUUUUACCUACACACUAUACAUAGUAGGUAAAACCUAUAGUGACAGACAAUUAGCUGUCACUAUACGCCCCCUCAAAGUUGACAGAAGAAACGUCUGUAGGACAAAGUCUAUCGUACAUUUACCUACAGAUUUUUUAUUUACAGUGACAGUUUUUGUCUAUAGGUAUAGGUCAUUUUUCUUGUAGUGAUAGUUAAAAAGAUUUGAGUAUUGCCUCCAACUCAACCUUUCCCGGUCACAAUAAAAGAAAGUUCACUGUUCAUGGUUAGAAUCUCAAGUCUUUUACAGAAUUCA